RNAcentral lists this ribosomal RNA (252 nucleotides) under uncultured bacterium. Its description in RNAcentral is "partial 16S ribosomal RNA". It matches the Rfam family "Bacterial small subunit ribosomal RNA", at positions 524 to 776 of the family's 1533-position model. The record is from RNAcentral.
UACGUAGGGACCAAGCGUUGUCCGGAAUCAUUGGGCGUAAAGGGUACGCAGGCGGCUAAGCAAGUUAGAAGUUAAAGAUCAUAGCUUAACUAUGGUAUGCUUUUAAAACUGCUUAGCUUGAGUGAAGGAAGAGAAAGUGGAAUUUCUAGUGUAGCGGUGAAAUGCGUAGAUAUUGAGAAGAACACCAGUAGCGAAGGCGGCUUUCUGGACUGUAACUGACACUGAGGCACGAAAGCGUGGGUAGCAAACAGG